AUGGAAGCUUUGCAGCUCAGGCAAUUACUCGGCAAGUUCGGCGUACAAUGCACAGUUCGAUGGCAACCAGCCAUGCAAUUUCAAAGCUAUCAUCUGGAAGAUUUGGGCUCCGGGGAAAGUGAAAAUGUUCCUUUUGUUAUUGCACCUAGACAGGCUGUGGUGCAACGACCGUCUUUAGAGGAGAGGAUGGCAAAACGGUUAUUUUUGCCCCAUGUGCAUGCGCAACCAAGAGACCUUGCUCCAUUUGAUCUGGGAAUGCCCAGUGGCGAUGCAGGCCUGCAACACCGCGGCCUCCUGGACGGGGUGCAACUCAUUGAACCAGCAGGUGUGGAGCAGGGCUACAACGACGACGGACAAAGUUUAGAAGAUAGUGUCGGUCGCAGCCCUAGACACAGGAAGGGCACGAAGACUAUGAUCGCUCUCAUCUCCUGGCACAUCUGGCUGGAAAAAAAUGCUUGCGUUUUCAAGGAGAAACAGGCAGAUGCUAGGCACAUCAUCAAAGCAUGGCAGAGUGACAUGGAGCAAUGGCGACUCACCGGUGCAAGAUGCUUCCAGCAGCUCUUCGGAGACGUGACGUGA
This 579-nucleotide ribosomal RNA is filed under the name Triticum aestivum (bread wheat). RNAcentral's name for it is "partial small subunit ribosomal RNA". The record is from RNAcentral. Lineage: Eukaryota; Viridiplantae; Streptophyta; Magnoliopsida; Poales; Poaceae.